This 464-nucleotide ribosomal RNA is filed under the name uncultured Hydrogenophaga sp. RNAcentral describes it as "bacterial SSU rRNA". It matches the Rfam family "Bacterial small subunit ribosomal RNA", at positions 910 to 1382 of the family's 1533-position model. The record is from RNAcentral. Lineage: Bacteria; Pseudomonadati; Pseudomonadota; Betaproteobacteria; Burkholderiales; Comamonadaceae.
UUGACGGGACCCGCACAAGCGGUGGAUGAUGUGGUUUAAUUCGAUGCAACGCGAAAACCUUACCCACCUUGACAUGGCAGGAAGUUACCAGAGAUGGUUCGUGCUCGAAAGAGAACCUGCACACAGGUGCUGCAUGGCUGUCGUCAGCUCGUGUCGUGAGAUGUUGGGUUAAGUCCCGCAACGAGCGCAACCCUUGCCAUCAGUUGCUACGAAAGGGCACUCUGAUGGGACUGCCGGUGACAAACCGGAGGAAGGUGGGGAUGACGUCAAGUCCUCAUGGCCCUUAUAGGUGGGGCUACACACGUCAUACAAUGGCCGGUACAAAGGGCAGCCAACCCGCGAGGGGGAGCCAAUCCCAUAAAGCCGGUCGUAGUCCGGAUCGCAGUCUGCAACUCGACUGCGUGAAGUCGGAAUCGCUAGUAAUCGCAGGUCAGCAUACUGCGGUGAAUACGUUCCCGGGCCUU